CAGUGAGGCUUCCGGACCGUUCGGUACAGAUCGGCAACGAUCAGUGCUGGAUGGGAAGUUAUCCAAACUCGGUCAUUUAGAGGAAGUAAAAGUCGUAACAAGGUCUCCGUUGGUGAACCAGCGGAGGGAUCAUU
Molecule: ribosomal RNA, 134 nt
Filed under: Bagadiella victoriae
Lineage: Eukaryota; Fungi; Ascomycota; Sordariomycetes; Amphisphaeriales; Clypeophysalosporaceae
Description: partial 18S ribosomal RNA
Rfam family: Eukaryotic small subunit ribosomal RNA
Source: RNAcentral